Molecule: long non-coding RNA, 4464 nt
Organism: Mauremys mutica (yellowpond turtle)
Lineage: Eukaryota; Metazoa; Chordata; Testudines; Geoemydidae
Exons: 3
Source: RefSeq, a predicted model, not a curated record
GGGCCAUGUCUGUUGUGCUGCUCAGGUAGGUUGGAGACUGUGGGGAUCAGCUGACACAGUAUCCAGGGCCGGUGCAAGGAUAUUUUGCACCCUAGGCGAAACAUCCACCUUGUGCCGGAACAUCGCUUAUUAUAACUUUUCAAAAAUGAAUUCAGUGGAGUCACAUCUUACGCGGGGGUUAGGUUCUAAGGUCAGCGCAUAAGAGGAAAAUCACGUAUAGUGAAAGGUACAGUACACACAGUAUACACUAGAACAGGGGUCUUCAGCCUACGGCACGCAUGCCAAAGGUGGCACACGAGCUGAUUUUUAUUUAUUUUUUUAAUGGCAGGCUGCGGGUCCCGGCCGCCGCUGAGCCUGCUGCCAGCCUGGGUUCCGUUCACUCAGCUGCCCGCCGGGGUCCCAGCCGGCGGCUCAGCUCAGCCUCCUGCCAUUCACUCAGUUCUAAUGUAUACUGUACUUUAUGGUAAUUUUCACUAUACACGAUUUUCCUCUUACAUGGUGACUUUAGAACCUAACUCCCACAUAAGAUGUGACUCCACCGUAGUGUAAAAAAAAAUUGGGAGGCACAUGACAGCCAGUGGUGGAUUUAGAGUUGAUCAGCUACUAGACCAACAAAUAAAAGGCCAGGUGUCCAAUUGCUCCCCGAGUGGCUAAUUCAUGUUUUUCUGUGCCAGGUGUUUCUUUGGUGCAAAUACAACAGGGAUCAGAUUAGAAGACUUGUGCCAAAACCAGAGAGGUAGCCAGCCAACGCCCAAGGGGCUGAACCAACCUGCCAGUCAGAGCAGUGAGAGUCGGGGAAGUGGAGGUGGGGGAAGGGAAGGCAGGAUUCUAGCUCGAGUUGCAUUAACCCUUGUUUCAAGAAAAAGUUCCCGUGCAGCCCCGUACUCAGGAAAAGGACUAGCCAGCACAGGCAGAUAGUGGGCAGAGGGGUUGUUCCUAGAGCUCUGUGUCUUUUGCAAAUGGAAAGUAACACAAAAUAAAACAAACUGCAGCGGCGGCUUCUGUCCCACGGGGCUGGACCCAGCAACCCCUUCUGGGCGUUGUGAUCUGGCACCACAGAUCACAGAACUGCUCCGGUUAGGCCUGGCCACCCUUUGGUCAUGGGGGGGGAGGCCAAAUUUGUGUGAGUGGCUUUGCAGCCUGGCGCAGGGAGUCACAGCACCAUUCACUCAACUUCGGCCCUGCCAUCCCUCCGUCAUCAUUGCUCUGCAACACCCCGCAUCCAUGGGGCUCCCAUCCUGGGGGCAGGGCCUACCUCCCCCACCCCCUGAGAUCUCCCCCCCCUCAAGGGCAGGACCUGACUCCCUCCCCCAUGAUAAAGUGAAACAACACAAAAUCCCCCCCCCCCAAGGAAAAAAUAAUUUGACAGCAGUGCUAGUGGUUUCCAACCGGCGCUUAAAGCACGUUUGUUUUCAUCUUUCAUUCCCAGCAGAGCUCAUGUGAAGAUAUUUUGAACAGCUGCACAAACCACUGUGAUUGGAGUCACACGUUCGUGUCCCAAGUAGGUGGGGCCUAGCAGGUGGGCAGAGCCUGGUCACGAACCACUAGUCCUGCCUCUGCAAUUCAAGCCCUCUGAAUUCUACUAGGACUUUCUUAUGUAACUAAGCACAUUUAUUGUUUCAGGGAAGAUGUGGGGGAGAGGGGGCAGAGGACUGGAUUGAGACAGGAGGUGCCUAGAUACUCUGGUGAUGGGCAGAGACAGAUAGAUACUUGUUUUAUCUGUAAUGGUGUGUUUCUGUAAAAUUACUGCAGUAUUGUCACCCCAGUUGCUCCAGCUCUGGUGAAAGUUAAUCUAGUGCACAAGCCAUUCCAGUGUGGAGCAGACGCCUGGCACUCUGCAGUGUAAGGCUGGACAGUCUUAAAGGGUCAAUGACAGAAUAUUUUACCACCAUCCUGGAAACAUUUUCUGCCCCUCCUUUUCCUAACCUUGUUGGUGACCAAAAUAUUCCUGUGUAAACAGAAACCUCUUUGGGGUGAUAAUCCCUGUCCUUCCAUCUGACCUGACCCACUCAUUAACACCACCAUUCCGUGUUUAUGACAUCAUAAAGGGUUCCAUGACGGUUGCUUCCGAGGUCUCAGACACAGGAUUCCAUAUCAAGCACCUGAAUGGGGGUGGGGGAGCUGGUUAUGAAUGAGAACACAUCUGUUCCAGGCAAAAGCUUUCUGGAGUCAGCUACAUGAGGACAAAGGGAGAGAGUAAGAGAGAAAAAAGAGAGAGCGAGGAAACAAAGCUUUCCAGGAUUCUGGAGACAAUACAGGUGUAGGUUGGUGGAUCCGGGCAGCUGUGUGCACCUCCCAGUAUGAUCUCAUCUAUUGAUAAAGAAAUUCAGGUCUCAUUGACCCCCGGAGACUCUAUGGAUGACUGGAGAACUAGCAUGUUGAUGACAUCACAGAUCCCAAUGAAGUGAAACCACAUUCGCUGAGAGGGGAAAUUGGUUUUAUUCAGCCUCUUUAACCCUGGCUCCGGUUUGGUUUUUGUAUCGCCCGUUUAACUCAAACACCCAGCAAAAAGAUAGAAGAGAUGACAGUUUUGUUAAAGAUUCAUAUUCCCCUGACCCUUCCAUUAAAGACUGAGAAAAUGGCCAACGCACAUGUGAGACCCCGCCCCUCAGAAGGGUAAAGGCACAGUGCAGAGGAAUAGCAUCACCACUUCAAGCUGUAUACACAGCAAAGGGCUGACAAUUGUUCCCUCGUGGUGAUGGAAACGCUGCUCCCCCAGGAGAGCCAAAGGAGCUGAGAAGUGUAUCCCAGGUGCCCUGUUUGCAUCCUCUGUCCCCAGCAUAGAAGUGUUGACCCGCAGGCUGCCAGGAGCUGGGGUGGGUUGAUGGCUCUGACGCUGAUGUAACUUCCCAGCUAGUGGACUUACUGUCCCUGGGGCUCAAAACUCACUGCCCCAAACUGAAUUGAGCCCUAAGCCUUUAUACAAUCUACCACUCAGUUGCUGAUAAAUAAAAAAGACUCUGGGCUUUCUGUUGUCAUUUACAAUGGUGCAAAGUGAGUGUAUAACGCCACCAAAUCUUGGAUGAGAUUUUCAAAGCCCCCAAAGGACACCUAUUUCCCAGUCACGCAGUUGAAUGGGAACCGGCUGUUCAAAUCUCUUCGGUGCCUUUGAGGAUGUCAGCCCUACUCUCUCUCAGAAGGCAAAUGAAAAGAACCCACUAUUAUUAUUUUUUUACUCCCUUCAUUUUAAAGACAAUCUCGAGAUUUUGACCCCUUGAGGUUGGAAAUGCUGCCGUACAGCACUCGUGAAAGGGUUUCCUGCCACGUGACCACCCACCAGCUGAGAACUGGGAGCGUUCAUGUGAUCUGUCAAUGUUCAGUGCUAUCAGAUGAUUAUUUUUUUUGGACUCCCCAAUUUCAGAUAAGUUGUGUUUCCUUAUUAGGCUGUCAGUGCAUCGUUUGAACCUGGAACCUUGGUUACUUUCAGUGCCAGGGUGGCGUUAGUCCAGUGGCAGAGGGGCAGAGUUAGAACCUUAGUGUAGUUCGGGGCGGGGGGUGUUAGAACCUGGGUUUGUUUCAGUGGCAGGGGGGCAGUGUUACCCCCAGGUUGAUAAAGAUUUUUCAUGGAAUUCGGGAGUGCAAAAGACCAUUGUACCGCCAACAUAGUUCAGAAGCGUUUUGUUAGCUCAGAGGCAGAAUUUCCAGACAGAAUGUUUGUUGUUUAUGUUAGAGAUGGACAAAGCUCUGUGGGAGGAGUGGGCUUGGGUCUGGUUCCUGUAUUUAGAUGAAACCAUACCCCCCCCCCUCUCAUGCCACAACCUUAGGAAAGUGGGAGCAUUCAGAGAGAUGGUUCAGGUGUUGCUCCAGCUGGUUUAUUUAUAUAUGGCUCUAUCCCCAUCUGUGCUGAAUUACCAAUCCUUUGAGUUGAUUUAUGUGUGUCCUUAUUGCCUCAUUCUCAAUCAGGCUCAUUCUUGCUUUCCUUUAUUUUUCCAAUCCUUCCUUCUGGGCUGCUGUGUUAAUCACCUGAGAUGAGAGAAGCUGUCUGUUGUCAUGACGACUCCAUCUCUGCUCUGGGCUUCCCGUGCCCAGAGGCCUGCUGGUUUUUGUGAGCUGUCAUUGGAGAGAGAUGGGUCAGCGGAGGAAAAAGAGCUGUGACAAAUUAGACAGCAGUUGCUGUUCCAAAGCUCUUUAGCUGCUGAUAAAUGGAGCGGAGACUGCAAGCGACUCCAGAGGAGCCAGUGAGGCUUUCAGAUCGGGCGUGUGUGUUGUGAUUAGCAGAUGGUGGGAUGAACCCGGGUUUCAUUUGUGUCCUCAGCCCUCAAGCUCGCUGUGAUACAGACAGGAAGGGGUGGGACUGACUGGCCGGCAAGGUCAGGCAGAGAUGUACAGUACUGAUGAGGAGAUCUUAAUCAGAGAUCAUAGUACACUCUCCUCUCAAAUGGACUGGAAUAAAGCUAUUAAGCUAAUAUAACAUCAUGGAGGAAGGACGUUCUGUUGAUGCAAUCUCUGGGGAAUCUCAGCCGG